This 525-nucleotide long non-coding RNA is filed under the name Bos indicus x Bos taurus (hybrid cattle). Its description in RNAcentral is "lncRNA (ENSBIXG00000003640.1)". The record is from RNAcentral. Lineage: Eukaryota; Metazoa; Chordata; Mammalia; Artiodactyla; Bovidae.
AUGGAUGGAGUGAGUGCGAGAUGGGGGCCUGGACACACACACAACCCGCCGCAGACUCACGCCUGGAACAGCUUUCCUCUUUCAAGGGCUGACUGGUUGAUACUCUGGCUGCUGCUGGGAGCGAGAGAAGAGAGAACAGGUUACAACAUCACUGGUAACAACAAUUGCAAGAACCAUCUGCAGAAGGGAGCCAUGGAUCUGACUUCCAGGGGAUAAAGCUCUGAGGUUGGAGGGACCAGGCUGAGCUCUACUAUCAGAAAGACUGGCAUUGUCCCUGCUAAGGCUUCCAUCCUCUUAGUUUUCCCUGGGGGUAGAUGAUUUAAAGGUUGUUCUGAGUCUUUGCAAAUUCAUAACACAAGGUGAAUGUGUUCAUUUCUCCCAGGUCUAUCUGUGCCCACAGGAAAAGUAACAUGAGGGAAGGAGGGCAUCAGUGUUUCUCAAGGGAUGCUGUGGUGACAAGAUGCUCAGGGUUGAAGGGGAGGGCAGAGGAGGACCCAAAUUUAUGAAAGUGCUACUCUGACCAGA